GCCAACUCUGGGCCCUAUUGGGCCGUGUCCAAUAGUAUUAUUUUUGGAUUUUUGCUUAAUUCUGAUAUUAACAAAGAAUUAAUUAAAUUUAAACAGGUGAACCUGACUGCCUAUCUGAAGUAGGAAUUAAGCGAGAAGAGAUCCAGAGGCUUGAUCGCACGGGAAUGGGGAGUGCGUUAGAUGUUCCGAUGAUUCCAUCAGUUAUUGGUCCUUUAGUUAGAUUGAUUAGAGUAUUUGACUUACGUCAGCAUAUGUUAUUUGAAAUUUUGUAAGACUGCUUUUGAAUAAAUUUAAAUAAUUAUGUUAGUUUUGAA
Molecule: non-coding RNA, 314 nt
Organism: Phoenix dactylifera (date palm)
Lineage: Eukaryota; Viridiplantae; Streptophyta; Magnoliopsida; Arecales; Arecaceae
Source: RefSeq, a predicted model, not a curated record